UGCCCUGUCGUCUAACGGCAAGACUAGGGACUUUGAAUCCCUCAAUCAAGGUUCGAAUCCUUGCAGGGCAUCCA
Molecule: transfer RNA, 74 nt
Filed under: Verrucomicrobiota bacterium
Lineage: Bacteria; Pseudomonadati; Verrucomicrobiota
Description: Verrucomicrobia bacterium tRNA-Gln
Rfam family: tRNA
About the family: Transfer RNA (tRNA) molecules are approximately 80 nucleotides in length. Their secondary structure includes four short double-helical elements and three loops (D, anti-codon, and T loops). Further hydrogen bonds mediate the characteristic L-shaped molecular structure. tRNAs have two regions of fundamental functional importance: the anti-codon, which is responsible for specific mRNA codon recognition, and the 3' end, to which the tRNAs corresponding amino acid is attached (by aminoacyl-tRNA synthetases). tRNAs cope with the degeneracy of the genetic code in two manners: having more than one tRNA (with a specific anti-codon) for a particular amino acid; and 'wobble' base-pairing, i.e. permitting non-standard base-pairing at the 3rd anti-codon position.
Source: RNAcentral